Molecule: ribosomal RNA, 614 nt
Filed under: uncultured bacterium
Lineage: Bacteria
Description: bacterial SSU rRNA
Rfam family: Bacterial small subunit ribosomal RNA (bases 1-522)
Source: RNAcentral
CCUACGGGAGGCAGCAGUGGGGAAUAUUGGACAAUGGGCGAAAGCCUGAUCCAGCAAUGCCGCGUGAGUGAUGAAGGCCUUCGGGUCGUAAAGCUCUUUUACCAGGGAUGAUAAUGACAGUACCUGGAGAAUAAGCUCCGGCUAACUCCGUGCCAGCAGCCGCGGUAAUACGGAGGGAGCUAGCGUUGUUCGGAAUUACUGGGCGUAAAGAGUACGUAGGCGGUUAUUCAAGUCAGAGGUGAAAGCCCGGGGCUCAACCCCGGAACUGCCUUUGAAACUAGAUAACUAGAGUCUUGGAGAGGUUAGUGGAAUUCCGAGUGUAGAGGUGAAAUUCGUAGAUAUUCGGAAGAACACCAGUGGCGAAGGCGACUAACUGGACAAGUACUGACGCUGAGGUACGAAAGCGUGGGGAGCAAACAGGAUUAGAUACCCUGGUAGUCCACGCCGUAAACGAUGAUAACUAGUUGUUCGGUCACUUGGUGUACUGAGUAGACGCAGACUACGACAUUAAGUUAUUCCGUCCGUCGGGUAGGUACGGUCGCGAGAGUUAAACGUACAAAUAGAAGUUAGUACGGCGUGUAGACGUUGCGAACGGACGACGACGAGGGAGGAGG